CUCAGAGCUUGCACUGCAGUCAGAAGAAUCUACUCAAAUCUUUUCUUAGCCCCAUUAACUGGAUGUCAGCCUUCUGAUCAGCUGACAUGAGAAAAAAACCAGCCCAAUAAUACUGUGAAAGGUCUCCAGCAGCAAAGAGCAUUGGUGCUAUGGAGGGGCUGUGGAAUGAUAGAAUUUCCAAUACAUUUCUGGAGUCUUUCCAGGGGAGACUUUUAAAAAGUAGAGCAUGUGCUUUCUGGAAAGUAAUAGGAUAAAGUGUUUGCGGCAGUUUCUCAAAUGCAAAGGAGCUAUGUGCAUCACAGAGAGGUUUGCAUCAAGUGGUUUGACAAAGUCAAAUUCA
RNAcentral lists this long non-coding RNA (340 nucleotides) under Cyanistes caeruleus (blue tit). Its description in RNAcentral is "lncRNA (ENSCCEG00000002542.1)". Lineage: Eukaryota; Metazoa; Chordata; Aves; Passeriformes; Paridae. The record is from RNAcentral.